UGCGCAGGUGGGCUUGUAAGUCAGUGGUGAAAUACUACCGCUUAACGGUAGAACUGCCAUUGAUACUGCAAGUCUUGAAUAUGGUUGAGGUAGGCGGAAUGUGUCGUGUAGCGGUGAAAUGCAUAGAUAUGACACAGAACGCCGAUUGCGAAGGCAGCUUACUAAGCCAUUAUUGACGCUGAGGCACGAAAGCGUGGGGAGCGAACAGGAUUAGAUACCCUGGUAGUCC
This 229-nucleotide ribosomal RNA is filed under the name uncultured bacterium. Its description in RNAcentral is "partial 16S ribosomal RNA". It matches the Rfam family "Bacterial small subunit ribosomal RNA", at positions 568 to 796 of the family's 1533-position model. The record is from RNAcentral.